UAAUCUCAUUUGGUAUCUCUGGGGGGCUGAGCGACGUCCAGGGUACCAGAUGAGAUGGGG
This 60-nucleotide microRNA precursor is filed under the name Ixodes scapularis (black-legged tick). Its description in RNAcentral is "Isc-Mir-216-P2_pre stem-loop". Lineage: Eukaryota; Metazoa; Arthropoda; Arachnida; Ixodida; Ixodidae. The record is from RNAcentral.